UCUACUAGUGUAAUAACACAGAUAAAAAUACAAUCAGUCACACAGAUAUAGGAACAAUCACAAUGAGAAUUGAGAAUCAGCACAAACUGGGCUCCUGCUCCAGUCAGAUGAAACUGUAUGCAUGACUAACUACGCGACCAUACUCGACUAGGCCACCUUCGCUACACUAGGACAGCAAUAGAACUAUCAUCAUGCCUUCGGCCGUCACCCUGUUACAUGAAUCAGAAGAGAAGAAUCAAAACACUGGAGCCAGUAUAUUAUGAAUAGAACGUUCAAAAAAAGGACAAGUUGUUUAGAAUGAUAACACAAAUUCAGCUAAUACAAUGAUUUUUGUUCCCCAUAUAGUUAAGACGAUAUACUCAUUCAUACAAGGUGACACAAGAAAAUAGAGCACUUUACUCAUAGCAUGCAGAGUAUCAUUAUUAUGUUCAUAUCAGCUUAUUCUUAUGCCUACAGCAAGGAAAUAAAUCUUACCAAAGAAGUAACAACUCCAUAAAUUAAAACAUCAGGGCUAAAUAAGAAGACUAAUCAGGGCUAAACAUCAGGGCUUAAUAAAAAUAGAACAUUCUGCAUUUGGUGCGAAAAUGGUUAGAGCAAAGAGGAGAUUCAGAAACAGAGCAAACCAAAUCAAAUCGAACACAAACCGACAUUUUCAGACGAAUAUUUUUGUUUAACUCAUUUACUGUUGCUCCCUUUAAUUUUUAGGACUGCAUAUUCUGAAUCUACUAGUACUAGAUACCUACUGAUUAGUAAAUAAAGCUGAGUUAUACUAGUAGUGGUGUUGCUCAAUUGCCACUGUUCUUAUCAUAUUUACUCCAUAACAACUAACAUGAACCUGCCAAUUGAUUAAAACCUAAGCUGUGUACAUUUCAGAACAACAACCAAACUUAAGGCAUGAUGAUAGACUGUGAGAAAAUAAACUAAACUUCAGAGGAGUGCUAACCAAGAACCCUUUAAUUAACCGUAGCAUUUCAUCAACACCCCCAACCAAACAGGAGCAUGAGCAGGACAAUAGCUACUACCCAGUAUAACAGCAAAAUGGCAUAAUCAUACAACUUGUAAGAGAUGGACUCAGGGAUGGUAAGUGUCGGUGUCAAAACCGGCGGAUCUCGGGUAGGGGGUCCCGAACUGUGCGUCUAGGCGGAUGGUAAUAGGAGACAAGGGACACGAUGUUUUUACUUAGGUUUGGGCCCUCUCGAUGGAGGUAAAUCCCUACUCCUGCUUGAUUAAUAUUGAUGAUAUGGGUAGUACAAGAGUAGAUCUACCACGAGAUCAGAGAGGCUAAACCCUAGAAGCUAGCCUAUGGUAUGAUUGUUGUUCGUCCUACGGACUAAAACCCUCCGAUUUAUAUAGGCACCAAAGAGGGUUAGGGUUACACAGAGUCGGUUACAAUGGUAGGAGAUCUACAUAUCCGUAUCGCCAAGCUUGCCUUCCACGCAAAGGAAAGUCCCAUCCGGACACGGGACGAAGUCUUCAAUCUUGUAUCUUCAUAGUCCAGGAGUCCGCCCAAAGGUGAUAGUUUGGCUAUCCGGACACCCCCUAAUCCAGGACUCCCUCAGUAGCCCCCGAACUAGGCUUCAUUGGCGAUGAGUCCGGCGUGUAGAUUGUCUUCGGCAUUGCAGGGCGGGUUCUUCUCCAAAUCAUGUGUACCUAUUGAAUAGCAUCCGGCUUCUUGUAAAUAUUGCGCUCCUAGGCUUCCACGCCCAAUAAUGGCCAUCUUCCACGUGUUGAACGAAUGCGAAAAGCCAGGGUAUUUUUACAUUUAGCCCCUUAGCUGCACAAAUGAGCUGCCUAUAAAAGAGGCGAGGAUCUAGAUCCGAAACACACCAUGCUCCCUUCGCGAGCAUUCAUCAGAGCGCAUCUGACAGAAAUCCAUUCCAUCAUGGACAGUCGACGCGGCUCCUCCUCUCGCCUUCCCAGCCCUCAGCUUGGAGAUUGGGAGAGAUGCUCCAUCCCGCACAACAAGUUAGUGACGCUCCAAACCAAGGGAUUUCUUCCCCCAGCCUUCAUGGUUCCGGUUCGAGCCGGACACGCCACCUAUAAGGGCGGAAAGCAAGCGGAGAGCAUCCCCAGCCCCUCCAAAGGAGAGCGGGUAUGCCUUGUCUCUUAUUUGAUAAGAGGGCUCGGAUUUCCAAUUCAUCCGUUUCUCCCGAGGCUCCUGGAGUUCUACGGCCUCCAGUUGCACAACCUUACGCCUGCCUCCAUUUUGCAUAUUGCGGGCUUUAUGGCCCUUUGCGAGCUGUUUUUGGGCAUCGAGGCUCAUUUUGUGCUGUGGAAGAAGCUGUUCUGCCUUGUGCCCCGUUCUCAAGAGGGGUCAAUAUAUAAAGUGGGUGGAGCCGAACUAUGACGCAUCGCCGGGACCGGAUAUCUAUCCGGAACCCCGAACAAGGCGUCCGAAGACUGGCCUUCGGAAUGGUUUUAUAUAGAAGAUGUCCCCCUACCGGAACCUGUUCGGAUCAGCCUCCCUGAGUUCAGUAACGCUCCUUUGAAGAAACACCUAAGCUGGCGUCCACGGAGCCCUCAAAAGUAAAAUGAUAGGGACGUCCUUUACCUGAUGAGCUGAAUACAGUUGUUAGCUCAUUCCGGAUUGACCAUGUGGGAUUUCAACGGGGAGGAUGAUGCCACCCGCUGUGGUCGUAAGGGGCCGGGAUCGGUCGCCGAUCUGAUGAAGAUCUUGUCCGCAUUGUACAAGGGAGAAGAGGAGGAAUUUCUCCGCGUCAAUCCACAGGACGGAUUUUCUAUGUACAAUCCUCCAAGCUAGGCAAGCGAACAUUUAUUUUUGCCUAUCUGAUCCAUACUCCCAUAGUCAACUCUCAUUUUGUGAUUUCGGCGCAGGAACUGCGCCGGGCCGUAAAGGAUAUAAACAGCCCGCCUCCACAACCCGAGGGUCCGGAACGGUUCCUCGAUCCAACCUCCCAAGAGGAUGCGGACAUAUCGGUGGAUCUGAUCGAUGGGGUAUUUUACCAACUGAGCAUCGAUAAUGCCUUGGUCGCCAUUACGGCCGAUUACCCCGGAAUACAUCCAGCCUCGCAGGUAACUGAGACUGAAGUCCCAAUACUUUGACAAUGACCCAUCCGUGCUUGUUCUUGAUCACCGUAUACCAAUGGUGUUUCGCAGGGGAAGUCCUUGAGGCAGAAGGCCGAGCCUGCGACGGCUAGUCAACAAGGGACAGCAAGGCCCAACAGGCUGAAAAGAAGUGCAGUCUAGAUUGAAACGCCGGUGCAACGGUAUGGCGUGUCAUCUUACUCCCAGGUUUUAUUCCCGGGAGGCAUACUAACGCUCGUACUUUUUCAGGAAGAAGAGCGCUCGCCGGACUGUAUCCGGAGAGGUGGCCAAUCAAUCUUCCGCUCACCAGGCUCCAAAGCCAGGCCCGGAAGCGGAGGAGAACACGAGGAGUGCGUCGGGUGCCCCUCCGACAGAGGAUGCCGACAGGUUAUCUGCCACCAAUUCUGAGGUGGAGAGUGCCAUGAAUCACAGGCGUCGCCGGACAGUUCUUCGUGGCGCAUGUUUCUCCCCAGAGGCAUUGGAUGCCUUCAAUUCAGGAGAUGCACACCUCCGUGCCGCUCAAAAUGGUCUAGCCAGAGCCACGAAGCAGUAUGUAAAAGACAUACGGGUGAGAAAAUUUGACAGUUAUAUAUGCCAGUAGCCCACGAGACUUGAAAUAGUUAGAAUAACUAAUUUGAGGAUCAUUUAUUGUGUAGGAUCUUACAGAAAAGAAUACCCAACUGUCCCAGGAGCUGGAGGAGUGCAAAGCCCAACUUGAGGCUGCACUAGCCGCAGCGGGGGAAGCCAAAGAGACGCCCUCUGGUAAUAUAUGCUUCGAAAGAUAAGUAAUUUGUGAAGUGUGGCGUGUGUAUAAGUCUAACAAUAAUAUUGCAGAUGGCGCCGGGAUAGAUCCGGACAAGCAACAGCUCAUGCGCCGGUUAAAGGCCGGCGAGAAUGUGCUUACAAGGGUGAGGCAAGAGAAAAAUAAUCUCCAAGAUGCCAACACCCAGCUGGGUGAGGAACUAAAGGAUGUUCGUGCCCAGCUGUCUGACUCCGUUAAGGAGAAUCGGCGGCUUCGACGCGGCAUUUUUAGUAAGUGCUCGAACGAACUUUGAAAAAGAGUUCGGCGAGCAAGUCGACUAACAGAGGUAUAUCUGUAGGUAUGCUCACAGGACGUCCUGCAGAGGAAAUGCCCGGUUCUAUGGGUGACCUUCUUCCCGAGCUCUUGCAACUGCACGAACGAGUUCGGCAGGUGAUGAAAGGCGUCGCCCAGGCCUUGUGGCCAUCUGUCUCCCUGCCCGAAGGGCUUGGAGAGCUUGCAGAGAGGCUUCAGGGAGCGCGGCGGCGCUUUCGAUUAUGGAAGAUAUCAGGCUGCCGUCAAGGCGCCAGGGAGGCCUGGGCCAUGGUGAAGACGCGGUACACGAAGGCUGACCACAACCACAUGGCCGAGGUCAGACCUGUGGGGCCCGAUGGGAAGGAGAUCCCUCUGAGCUUAGUGUACGGGCAAGUAAAGUUGGCCGCAAAGUAUUCCCAGAAGGACUGUAAACUAGACAGCCUAUUAGAUGGCAUUGAAGAGGAAUACAAUCAGUUGAAUUGACUAUGUAAUUUUAAGAUGACAUGUAAAAUGCCUUCUAGCCGGAUUGUAGAUCGUUUGUCAUAGCGGACCUUUUCGCUUCAACCUCGGGAUCCAAUGGUCCGGAGUGUGUCCGAAUACCCUCGCGGUUAUAUAAGAACCGGGGCAUGCGUGGAGACCAGGCGUAGGGGUCAUUAGUGCUCUAUUAGACAAGUGCCCAACUAGUUAUGUUAUAUUACAUGGUUAGUAAGAAACAUCUUCCAGGGAGAAUAGUUUCGUUAGGGGUUCCUUUCCCUGGGAGGCAUGCCCUAAAGUGCAUGUCCGGACUGCGAAAAAAGCAGAAAAACAUGUGGGGGCAGAUAAAUAAAUAGGUAAGAAAUCGUCUUUUAGUUCACCGACCGAAUAUUUCCUUAAGAAUGCUAGCUUUCGGCUUCACCCAGUCUGAGGUACACAUCCGGCUGACCCGGCAGUAACAAUCGCAGAGGUGCUCCCUUUACCACCUAGCCGAACAAUCGGGAACGUAGGGGUAAGCACAGGAGCCAGGCAACCCAGCUUGGCCAAAACUUAAGUCAUAUCAAUGCAUAUAAUGGUGAAUAAAAGGUACAUGCGGAAGUGUGACACAUGUGUUGGGCAUGAAGCCCAUAUAAAUAAGCUUCUGUUAAAGAAGCCCCCAGGUAUAAUGAGCGGGGAUAGCGCAUCAAGUGUGUGUGAACAAAGCGCGAACGAGCCUUCAAAGGCUGUAAGAGAAAAAGGGGGAGAAGGGGAGAAAUAUAAGACAGCUACUGUAUAAAAUAUAGACGGAGGAAGGAGACGAAGUCAAAAUCCGGCGCUAGGCGUAGAAUCUUCGCACACGGUCUGCGUUCCAUGGGUUCGGCUCGAGUCGGUUAUCCGAUGCAUUUCGCAGACGGUACACUCUGCCGGUCAGGACUUGGUCGAUGAUGAAGGGACCUUCCCAUUUGGGCUUGAGUUUGUCCUUUUUCUUGUCCGGCAGGCGUAGAACUAACUCGUCGACAUUGUAAGUUUUGGCUCGUACUUCUCUACUUUGAUAUCUUCGAGCCUGUUGUUGAUAGAAUGCGGAACAGGCUUUUGCCACAUCACACUCCUCCUCCAAUGCGUCCAAAUUGUCCUGCUGAUCGAGCUCAGCUUCUCUUUCUUCGUACAUGCGCACGCGAGGUGAGUCAUGAAUUAUGUCACAGGGCAGAACUGCCUCUACGCCGUAUACCAUAAAGAAUGGUGUAAAUUCGGUGGUGCGAUUCGGAGUGGUCCGCAGCCCCCAGAGUACGGAGUCGAGCUCCUCUACCCAGUGCAUGUUAGAUUCCUUGAGGGACCGCACUAAUCUGGGUUUGAUGCCGCUCAUGACUAGACCAUUUGCUCGCUCGACUUGGCCGUUAGUUUGAGGGUGAUAGACUGAAGCAUAGUCGAGCUUGAUGCCCAUGUUUUUGCACCAGAGUUUGACCUCGUCGGCCGUAAAGUUCGUGCCGUUAUCAGUGAUGAUGCUAUGGGGGACACCCUAACGGUGUACGACCCCUGAUAUGAAGUCUAUCACCGGUCCGGAUUCGACCGUCUUAACAGGUUUGGCCUCUAUCCAUUUGGUGAAUUUAUCCACCAUGACCAGUAGGUAUUUUUGCUUGUGGGUUCCUCCUUUAAGGGGUCCAAUCAUGUCAAGCCCCCAGACCACGAAGGGCCAGGUUAUGGGUAUGGUUUUGAGGGCGGUGGCUGGCAUGUGGCUUUGAUUAGCAAAGAGCUGGCAACCAACGCAUUGUUGGACUAAGUCCUGAGCGUCUGCCCGGGCCGUCGGCCAAUAAAAUCCUGUACAGAAGGCCUUGCCUACAAGGGUCCGGGCUGCAGCGUGAUGCCCGCCGAGUCCGGCAUGAAUUUCAGCCAGAAGAUUCCGCCCUUCCUCUUCGGAGAUACAGCUUUGAAGGACUCCGGUUGUGCUUUUCUUGUAAAGCUCUCCCUCAUGGACCUUAUAGGCUUUAGAUCGCCACACUAUGCAGCGGGCCUCGUUUUGGUCCUCGGGAAGUUCCUGCCUGGUUAGGUAGGCUAAUAAUGGUUCCGUCCACGGGGCAAUGACUGCCAUUAUGACGUGGGCUGAGGAUGUUACUUCGUUGGCAGAACCGCCGAUGGUGUCAGAGUGUUCGGUGUUGGGCAGUGCGGUUGGGUCCGCGUUGUUAUUUCCGGAUUCCCCCUCCCAUAGUACGGAUGGCUUGAACAGCCUCUCUAGGAAUAUGUUGGGAGGGACGGCAUCGCGCUUUGCGCCAAUGCGUGCCAAUAUGUCUGCUGCCUGGUUGUUAUCCCGGGCUAUAUGGUGAAAUUCGAGCCCCUCAAACCAAGCUGACAUUUUUAGGACGGCGUUGCGAUAAGCUGUCAUUUUCGGAUCCUUGGCAUCGAAUUCUCCAUUUAUUUGGGAUGUCACGAGGUUCGAAUCCCCGCGCACCUCUAGGCGUUGAAUGCCCAUGGAGACUGCCAUCCGGAGGCCAUGUAAAAGGGCCUCGUAUUCUGCUGCAUUGUUGGAGUCUGUAUACAUUAUCUGUAGUACGUAUUGAACCGUAUCUCUGGUUGGGGAUGUCAGAACGACGCCAGCCCCCAGACCAGCCAACAUUUUGGAGCCGUCAAAGUGCAUGAUCCAGUUGGAAUAUGCGCCGUACUCUUUAGGGAGUUCGGCUUCAGUCCAUUCGGUGACGAAGUCGGCCAAAACUUGCAAAUUAAUAGCUUGCCAUGGCUUAUAGGUUAUGUCGAACAGGAGGAGCUCAAUGGCCCAUUUGGCAAUCCGGCCCGUCGAGUCGCGCUUGUUUAUAAUGUCAUUAAGAGGUACUUCGGAGGCUACUGCUAUCGAACACUCUUGAAAGUAGUGUCGCAGCUUCCGGGAUGCCAUGAACACUGCGUACGCUAUCUUUUGAUAAUGCGGGUACCAUGACUUGCAUGGAGUUAGGACAAUGGACACGUAGUAAACUGGUUUUUGAAGGGGGAACUUGUGUACGUCCGUUUCUUGUUCGACAAUGAGCACCGCGCUCACAACUUGAUGAGUUGCCGCGAUAUAUAAUAGCAUUGGUUCGCCCAUGUUGGGCGCGGCCAGGACCGGGUUUGUUGCCAAUAUGGCUUUUAUUUCUUCGAGUCUGGCCGUGGUGGCAUCCAUCCACUCGAAUUGUUCGGUGUGUCGGAGGAGGCGAUAAAGGGGUAAUGCCUUUUCUCCUAAACGGGAGAUAAAGCGGCUUAAAGCCGCCACACAUCCCGUCAAUUUUUGUAUUUGUUUGAUAUCUGGGAUAUCCAAUUAUGACAGAGCUCGGAUCUUGGCUGGGUUUGCUUCAAUACCUCUACCGAAUACAAUGAAGCCCAAGAGCUUUCUGGCUGGUAUGCCGAAAACACAUUUUUCCGUGUUAAGCUUAAUGUCAUAUGUUCGAAGAUUAUCGAACGUGAGCCUCAAAUCGUCUACUAGAGUUUCGACGUGCUUGGUUUUGACGACCUCAUCGUCUAUGUAUGCCUCCACUGUUUUGCCGAUCUAGUUUGCCAGACAUGUCUGAAUCAUGCGCUGAUAUGUUGCGCCGGUGUUUUUGAGCCCAAAGGGCAUUGUGUUGAAGCAGAAUGGGCCGUAUGGGGUUAUGAAUGCCGUUGCGGCUGGUCGGGCUCUGCCAUCUUAAUUUGGUGGUAGCCGGAGUAUGCGUCGAGGAAACACAAUGAAUCGUGUCCUGCGGUAGCGUCUAUAAUUUGAUCGAUGUGGGGGAGUAGGAAGGUAUCCUUUGGGCAAGCCUUGUUGAGGUCCUUAAAAUCGACGCAUAGGCGCCAGGAUUUGUCCUUCUUUGGUACCAUCACCAGGUUUGCUAGCCAGUCUAGAUGUUUUAUAUCUAUGAUGAAUCCGGCCUCCAACAAUUUGGCUAGCUCCUCUCCGAUGGCCUGUCUCUUGGGUUCGGAGAAACACCGAAGGCCCUGUUUGACUGGCUUGAAUCCUUUUAGGAUGUUUAGGCUGUCCUCGGCCAGCUGGCAUGGGAUUCCUGGCAUGUCUGACGGGUGCCAGGCAAAAAUGUCCCAAUUUUCGCGUAGGAAUUCUCGUAGUGCGGCGUCUACAUCAGGGUUUAGUUGUGCCCCGAUGGAGGCCGUUUUUGUAGGGUCCGUUGGAUGGACUUGGAAUUUGACUAUUUCGUCCGCUGGUUUAAAGGAGGUUGACUUGGAUCUCUUAUCGAGUAUCACAUCGUCCCUAUUCACCGUGGAGCGCAGUGCAGUGAGUUUGUCGGCCGCUAGGGCUUCGGAUAGUGCCUCAAGGGCCAGUGCGGCUGUCUUAUUUUCAGCCCGGAGUGCUAUGUCCAGGUCACUAGCAAGAGUGAUGAUUCCGUUGGGCCCGGGCAUUUUGAGCUUCAUGUACCCGUAAUGGGGUAUAGCUUGAAAAAUUGUGAAUGCCUCUCGCCCUAAUAGAGUGUGAUAUCCGCUGCUGAACGGGGCCACUUGGAAAGUGACCUCCUCGGACCUGUAAUUAUCCAGCGUGCCGAACACCACAUCUAGUGUUAUUUUUCCUAUAUAGCAUGCAUCCCGACUGGGGAUUAUUCCUCUAAAGGUUGUGCUGCUCAAUGCGGCUCCAGUCUAUUUCCAUUUUUCGGAGGGUUUCCUCGUAAAUGUGGUUCAAUCCGCUGCCACCGUCCAUGAGUACCUUGGUAAGGCGAAAGCCGUCCACUAUUGGACUAAGGACCAAUGCGGCUGGUGCUCGGGCUGUUCGGAAUUUAGGUUCAUCACUGGCAUUAAAGGUAAUAGCCGUGUCACUCCAUGGGUUUAUUGUUGCUACUUGGUAGACUUCGGCAAGGCUGCGGAGUGUUUGUUUCCGCAUAUUAUUUGAUGCGAAAGUCUUGAAGACUGUUAAUACCGUACUGAUAUCCUUGGGCUGGUGCUCUGGAGUUAGAAGCUCUUCGCCACUUUUGGCCACCUGCCGUAGUAUCCAACAUGCUCUAAGGCUAUGAGUUGGAGUGGCGCCCUCUGUACUAUGAAUUUUAGAGGGUCCAUUUAUCCAUCCUUCUAGUACGGUUCCAUGCCCUAUAGAGGGUUUUUGUUUUUUGGUAUUUAACCCGGGUGCCUGGCGAUGAUGCACCCUUUUAUUUCGGACUGGGGUUGUAUUCAGGGCCGGAUUGUCCCAAAAAUUAAUUUUGGUUUUCCAGACGCUUUCCAUGGCACAGUACUUUUGUACUAUGGACGCCAAGUCAGCAAAGCGUGUAAUUUCACGACGACUUACGGCGUUGAGGAUUCCCUUGUCCGUGGAAUUAUUGCAGAAGAAUGAAAUUGCAUCCUCCUCGCGGCAAUCCUUUAUCCUGUUGAUAACCAGGAGGAAUCUGGCCCAGUAAUGGUGUACUAUUUCUGCGGGCUCUUGCCGGAUUUGGGAUAGAUCCCCUAUGUUUGGGUGGGCGGGUUUAAUUAAAUUCGGAACCCCGUCCAAUCUAAGACUCAGGGGCCAAGAAGUUUCCGAACUUGGAAGCUUGGGUUCUUGGAUGUUGUCCAAUGAAUCUAGUGCGCUGCCUGACUUUAGGUUCAGGGCUUGAGUGACGUCCUCCCCUCCGUGGGAAUCCGGAAUGGAGGGAUUGGGAAUCCGGACAUAGCUAGUCCUUAAAAUAGAGGAAGGGUCGCCAUAUUGUUCCUCAACCACAGCAACGUGGUGGGUAACCUGGGGAGAGUUGAUCUCUCUCAGAUCAGGUUUAGGCCCAAUCUGAUCGUAGUCUGUAGAGACUGCCAGGGCGGCGAUGCGAUCCAAGAGCUCGUUUAAGGAAGAGAGCUCCAUCGGAUCUAACUGCUCGGCGAGUUCCGAGUUAACAUGAAGAUUGCUUUCGAUGACCCGAGAAGUCAUCGUUGGCGCGGAGGCCGAAGAGGCGGUCAUAAGAAAACUGCCUAGCCAGAGAGUUUGGCUGAUGGCCAAAGCUCCUUUAGCAACGGUGCCAUCUUUAAAGACGGGAUGAGACAUCCUUCCUGAUGGCGAUGGCACAGAGGAACUCUCAAUGAAAGCACCAAUGUCGGUGUCAAAACCGGAGGAUCUCGGGUAGGGGGUCCCGAACUGUGCGUCUAGGCAGAUGGUAACAGGAGGCAAGGGACACCAUGUUUUUACCCAGGUUCGGGCCCUCUCGAUGGAGGUAAAACCCUACUCCUGCUUGAUUAAUAUUGAUGAUAUGGGUAGUACAAGAGUAGAUCUACCAUGAGAUUAGAGAGGCUAAACCCUAGAAGCUAGCCUAUGGUAUGAUUGUUGUUCGUCCUACGGACUAAAACCCUCCGGUUUAUAUAGGCACCGAAGAGGGUUAGGGUUACGCAGAGUCGGUUACAAUGGUAGGAGAUCUACAUAUCCGUAUUGCCAAGCUUGCCUUCCACGCCAAGGAAAGCCCCAUCCGGACACGGGACGAAGUCUUCAAUCUUGUAUCUUCAUAGUCCAGGAGUCCGGCCAAAGGUGAUAGUUCGGCUAUCCGGACACCCCCUAAUCCAGGACUCCUUAGUAAGGAAACAUCAGAUGAGGGGAGGGAGGGUGCAGACGCUAGUACUCAUUGCCAAGCUGAACGAUCAGCUUCGCUAUGACAGGUUUGAGGACCCUCGUCGCCAUGCUGACGAGAGUCGCCUCCAUGGUCAUGCUAGCUCAGAGCUCAACCAGUCAACCGUG
This 11171-nucleotide long non-coding RNA is filed under the name Triticum aestivum (bread wheat). RNAcentral's name for it is "long non-coding RNA (TAES_LNC016316)". Lineage: Eukaryota; Viridiplantae; Streptophyta; Magnoliopsida; Poales; Poaceae. The record is from RNAcentral.